GCCUAUGGCCAUACCACCCUGAACGCACCCAAUCUUGUCUGAUCUCAGAAGCUAAGCAGGGAGGCCUAGUUAGUACUUGGGUGGGAGGAGAAUGUCAACUCUAGAGAUUUAGCAA
Molecule: ribosomal RNA, 115 nt
Filed under: Cebus imitator (Panamanian white-faced capuchin)
Lineage: Eukaryota; Metazoa; Chordata; Mammalia; Primates; Cebidae
Source: RNAcentral